UUUCUUCUCUAUUACACUAUAUCAUUUUAUGCUGGUAGUUUACCAUCUUGGUCAUUUCAUAUAUGCCGUUAUUUGUAAGCAUUUAUCUUGCUGUGGAUUGAGGGUUCGGGCUAGAAUUUAAUUUGGUGGCUUCUGACCUGUAACUUCUCCUGUUAUGUUUAACUUUGAAAUGCUUUCAAACAAUUUGGCUUGUGAGCUAUAACUUAAUCGCCUUUUUUUGUUCCGGGAGGGAAAAUAAAGAAAGAAUCUCAGCACCGAUUAAACUCAUUUUUACUACUGCUUCCGUUGCUACAGCCAGAGAGGAACUCAAACAUUGUCUCCCGAUCUAUUAUUUCAAGAUGGAAUUGAACUGCUAGGACAAAUGAAUGAUUACGUUCAUCAUUCAAAUGGUAAAAUUCCAUUGCAAAAUGCAGAGCCUAAUUCUAGAAUGAUCUACUUAAUAUUUUCCAAUAAAUGUUGUAUUUGAAAUUUUAGAUUUGAUUAAAAAUAAGGAGUAACCACCACCCUUCUUGUUAGAGUUUAAAUGUGAGGUGUGAGAAAGUGGUAAAAAAUUGUGGAAUAAAACUGUUGUGCGGAUAAAUGGUGCAUAAGAUCUUGUGAGGUGCUUGCUUUAGCAGUAUUAUGCUUCAGAUUUAUUAUAUUUGAUAACUUGUAUCAUUGAAUCAGCAUGUUCAAGCUAAUGCUCAUUACGAGCGAAUGUUCACUUCUCUCAUUUAAUGUGGAAUUAGGGUUUAAAAAUAGAAUGAAAUAUCUUUAGUUUUUCUAAGUGGUAAUUUGGGCUUGGGUGCAGGUGAGUUUGAGCGAGUAGCAGGACACACAUCAAAAGUAAAGUGUGCACACAUAUGGCACACACUUUGUUAUUACUGGAUUCAACUAUUUGUUUUUGUGCAACUGGUGCUGAAAUUUGCAUAUUUUGUUAUGUAUAAAGGUACAGGUGAUUUGGGCGAGCGACCCAGUUUCACAAUGGAGGGGAGGAG
This 977-nucleotide unclassified non-coding RNA is filed under the name Primulina halongensis. RNAcentral's name for it is "partial 166FR". The record is from RNAcentral. Lineage: Eukaryota; Viridiplantae; Streptophyta; Magnoliopsida; Lamiales; Gesneriaceae.